GUGCCAUGCGGGACAUAAUUCAGAAUUAUCCUCCCAUGGCAGAAGGCUGCAGGGUUGUCAUUAGCGUCGACAAACUGUACGUCAACGGAGAGCUCUACCGGGACCGAGAAGCAACUCCGUGGCUGUACUAGCAGGUGCUAUGUAACUAAAAUGGCUUAAUAUAAAAGGUGUGUUAAAAAAUAAUACAGUAGAUGCAAUGCAACUAAGUGUUAUAACUUUACAUCCAAUAUUCAAACUCGUUCUCUCUCCCAGAUGUUUCAGUUAAAUAUUUAAUGUCAUUUUAAUAUCACCCAUGCACAGUUUGUAAAGUGCUCAUCAAGCUCAUCACUUUCCUUUCCUUCACUCUUAUUCCUUCACCUACUUUCACUCCACACUGUGUACAUCCUUCUCUUCUCUAUUCUUCUCCCACGUAGUCAGCCAGCUAUGUAGCCCUCCAGCAGCCACACACAAACAUGUACUGCACAGGCAAAACAUGUGCACAUACAUAGACAACACACAACUCAGAAUACACAGAUACUCAAGUUCAGUCACACACCUAAAGUCUGUCACACUUCAUAGACACAAAACCACACAAAACUAGUGAUCCACAGCAGUCAGGUAAGUUAUUACACCACUCAAAAUUGUCACACAGAAUGUAUGUGGAAUCAAUAAGGAGACACUAUUUCAAAUAUUUAACCACUUGAAACCCCUACAAGCAGACAUUGCUUUACUAAAAGAAACUCAUAUUCCUAAAACUAUAGAUUACACUCAUCAACAGAGUUCCCACAUGCUUACUUAGUCAGUUACAAUUCCAAACAAAGAGGGGUCUUCCAUCCUGAUAAAUAAAAAGACUAACUUUAUUCAGAUAGAUCUUUAUUCAAUAGAUCCAGAAGGAACAUAUUUAAUCAUUAAUAUUUUGAUAGAAAACAUUGAAUAUUGCAUAGCUAAUGUGUAUGGUCCUAAUGUUGACGACCCCUCUUUCUUUCAAAGCUUCUUCACAUCACUGUCUGCUCACUCUGGUUCCAAACUUAUAGUAGAAUUCAAUUCAAUUCAAUUUUAAUUAUAUAGUGCCAAACCACAACAAAGUUAUCUCGAGGCACUUUACAAAGUAAGGUUUAAGACCUUACACAUCUAAACCCGACAUAUCCCACAUACAGCAACAAUUUGACAGCAACAGUGGAGAGCAAAAACUCCCUCUUUAACGAGGAAGAAACCUCCAGCAUAACCAGGCUGGAUGUGGGCGGCCAUCUGCCUCGACCGGUUGGGGUGAGAGGAUAGAGAGAGAGAAAAGCACAGCAACAACAACAAGCACCAACAGAGCACUGGCAGGAUGGUUGGACCAGAGACUGGAUACAGACAGGAUGGUUGGAUCCGCAACUGCCCAUCACAGACACAAAGCUCUGAGUCCCAUGAUACCUGUAGGUGAGGACAGAAUGGAGGAGAGAGAAAGAGCGACGGAGAAGCACAACUACUGGAGAGAAAGAGACAUGGUUGGAUGAACAUUGAUAACAAUGAUAGGAUGUUAUUGGACAGGUAGAAGGAAAUAGAGGAGCUCAGUGUAUAAAUUAAAUCUUCCAGCAGUCUAUGUCUAUUGCACCUUAACUAAGACAUGAUUCCUGUGACUAACAAUCAUUGCCAGUGACCUGAACCAUCUUUAACUAUAAGCUUUAUGAAAGGAAGGUUUUAAGCCUGAUCUUAAAGAUGGAGAGUGUGUCAGCUUCUCAAACCUGAAGAGGGAGCUGGUUCCACAGGAGAGGAGCUUGGUAGCUAAAAGCUCUGCCUCCAAUUCUACAUUUAAAGACUCUAGGAACCACCAGCAGCCCAGCGCUAUGAGAACGAAGUUUUCUGCUGGGAGCAUAAGGAACUAUGAGGUCUUAAGAUAAGAUAAGAAGGAGCUAUAUCAGUAAGUACUUUGUAGGUGAGUAGGAUCCCACAGUUGUUUCUUCCAUGAACAGCACAUUUUACAGGCAGCCAGUGCGGAGAAGCUAAUGUAGGAGAAAUGUGACCUCUCUUUCUAAGUCCUGUUAGAACUGCUACUGAAUGUCUUCUGUAAUGGUGUUAAUUUUAUUAGUAAAGUAGUUCACAAAGUCAUUGCUCCUGAGAUUUAAGGGGAUAGUAGGCCCAACACAGCUAUGGCACAGCUAUGACUCUUAGUCAGCCUGUCUACAGUCUUUUUUAGCAGCACAAAGUGCUUUUUUAUAUAUUAUUAGACUGUCCUUCCAUGCAAUGCAGUUCAAAUUUAUUUUGUUGGAACGCCACUGCCUUUCUAAAAGGGGACUUUAAUUUAGUAUUUAACCCAGAGUUGGACAGGCUAAGCAAAGCUGUGAGCAACAGGAACUGGCAAUCAGUAUAGACCUUAAAACGGUACAUGGAUGAUUUUGGUUUCUGUGACACAUGGCGUUCUGUUCACCCUACCUCCAGGGAAUGCACCUUCUUCUUGCCAGUUCACCACUCUUACUCCCGUAUAGAUUACAUUUUAGUAAAUAACUCUUACAAGAUGUAAGAGCUGUAACACCAAUACUCACUCUAUCACAAUCAGUGAUCAUGCACCAGUGUCCAUUUCUUUGAUCAAGACAGUUACACCAUCAACCAGGAAUUGGAGGUUUAAUAUAUCAUUAAUCAAUGAUUAAGACUUUAUCAGUUAUGUGAGGAGAGAAUGGGCAACCUUUUUGUAAAACAACGAUACACCAGGAACCUCACCUUGUGUUCUCUAGGAGACUGGGAAGGCAGUUAUGCGUGGUAGAAUUAUUGCUUAUUAUUAUGCUCCAGUACUUAAAUUAGAAUUAGAGCAAAAAUAUAAAAUCUCUAGAGAUUAAAUAUAAUGUCUCUUCAACCAAUGAUGUCCUAGAAGACCUAAGAAAUCUAAAGAUGAAAUUAAAUAAUAUAUUUGAUCCCAAAACUCAGUUUCAAAUAGAUCAGUUAUGCUGGGAAAACUUUGCAAAUGUGGUCAAUUUUUAGCCAAUCAAUUUAAAAAUAAUAAAGAAAAAAAAUCCUCCAUUCAAUAACUAAUAAGAAAGUGGACAUUACUCAUGAUUCCCAUGAAAUAAAUGAUACCUUUAAAAACCUUUACCAAGAGUUAUAUACGUCCCAAAUAGAUCCAUCCACCUCAGCCAUAGAGGCGUUUCUGAAUAAACUAGAACUGCCAAAGUUAAAGGAAGAACAAACCACAACUCUAGACUCAUUGUUGUCUUUGGCAGAACUACUGUAGAUUUAGCUCCAAGGCCAGAUGGAUUCCCAACUGAAUUUUAUAAGGAGUUCUGGUCAUGCUGGCACCCAGUUUUUACAAAAUGGUAGCUGAAGUAAAACAAGAGCAUCCAUUACCCAGCCUGCUCCAAAAUCCAGGAAAAGACCCUUUGCUUCCAUCAUGUUACAGACUAAUUUCACCAAUAAAUGUAGAUUUAAAAAUACUGUGUAAAGCACUUGCUAGAAGAUUAGAAAAAGUCGCUCCAUAUAUAAUUCACUCUGAUCAAACAGGCUUCAUUAAACGUAAACAGUCAACAAACAAGUGCUAUUGCAGAUUAUGGUUUCAUUUACUGUAUAUGUUGGUGUGCACAAUCUGUUUCCUUAUUUUUUACAUUUUACUCAUCUAGAGGGGAGUUCAGGUCCGUCAGAGUGCUACUGAACUGUUCUACAUUAGCACACUGCACGCCAUCCUUGAAGAAUAGGCCACUACUGUUGUCUUCUAAGCUGUAAAAGGAAGUUACACAAGUUACACAGAGACAUUAUUUGGACAUGGAUCCACCAUCUGAGAUAGAUGUGUAUUUUUGUAUUUUUUGUUGUUACUAGCCAUCGUCUAUGAGUAACCAAUUCGAACUUAACUAAUGCUGUUUGUAGUAGGCCCCUUGAUCAAAGAUGACGCUUUACUGAUGAAUUUGUUGCUCUGUCCGUUAUAACAUUCUCCACCGUAAGUGGAGCUAUGGUAAGCAAAAUUAAAAUUAGCAACUUUGCUAAAUACAAAAACAUCAUUAAUUUAUACUUUAAUAAAAAAUACAUGAAUCCUUAUUAAAAAGUAAAAACAAACCUUGUGCCUCUUUGCAAGGUUAAACACAAUUAUGAUUGUUUAUUUGGUUUUCACUGUUGUCUGUACUCGUUGCACACCGCCAAUCUUAGCACACAGCAACACUCUCAUGAUGGUAUAGGAAGAGAGCAGCCAAAUUAAAAGCAUAUGGCGGAAGUGCCACUAUUGUCAAUGCAUUCUGGGUUAUUUACACUGUUCCUUCAACUGGGACAGUCGGAAAAUAAAGACCCCACAUAUUUUGGA
Long non-coding RNA from Betta splendens (Siamese fighting fish), 4240 nucleotides. RefSeq lists it as uncharacterized. Lineage: Eukaryota; Metazoa; Chordata; Actinopteri; Anabantiformes; Osphronemidae. The record is from RefSeq and is a predicted model, not a curated record. The transcript is spliced from 2 exons.